GGGGCGGUGAUGACCCCAACAUGCCAUCUGAGUGCCCAUGCUGAGACCCAGAGGCUGUUUCUGAGCUU
Small nucleolar RNA from Ailuropoda melanoleuca (giant panda), 68 nucleotides. Ensembl annotates it as small nucleolar RNA, C/D box 95. The record is from Ensembl. Lineage: Eukaryota; Metazoa; Chordata; Mammalia; Carnivora; Ursidae.